Molecule: ribosomal RNA, 447 nt
Filed under: uncultured marine bacterium
Lineage: Bacteria
Description: bacterial SSU rRNA
Rfam family: Bacterial small subunit ribosomal RNA
Source: RNAcentral
AAUAUUGGACAAUGGAGGAGACUCUGAUCCAGCCAUGCCGCGUGCAGGAAGAAUGCCCUAUGGGUAGUAAACUGCUUUUAUACGGGAAGAAAAAGGGCUACGUGUAGCCCACUGACGGUACCGUAAGAAUAAGGACCGGCUAACUCCGUGCCAGCAGCCGCGGUAAUACGGAGGGUCCGAGCGUUAUCCGGAAUUAUUGGGUUUAAAGGGUCCGUAGGCGGGCAGCUAAGUCAGAGGUGAAAGUUUGCAGCUCAACUGUAAAAUUGCCUUUGAUACUGGUUGUCUUGAGUUAUGGUGAAGUUGCCGGAAUAUGUAGUGUAGCGGUGAAAUGCAUAGAUAUUACAUAGAACACCGAUUGCGAAGGCAGGUGACUAACCAUAUACUGACGCUGAUGGACGAAAGCGUGGGGAGCGAACAGGAUUAGAUACCCUGGUAGUCCACGCCGUA